RNAcentral lists this ribosomal RNA (694 nucleotides) under uncultured bacterium. RNAcentral's name for it is "bacterial SSU rRNA". It matches the Rfam family "Bacterial small subunit ribosomal RNA", at positions 32 to 715 of the family's 1533-position model. The record is from RNAcentral.
AACGCUAGCUACAGGCUUAACACAUGCAAGUCGAGGGGCAGCAGGGAUUUAGCUUGCUAAAUUCGCUGGCGACCGGCGCACGGGUGCGUAACGCGUAUCCAACUUUCCUGUUACUCUCGGAUAGCCUUCCGAAAGGGAGAUUAAUACGAGAUGGUGUUCUAAUUCCGCAUGUUAUUAGAACUAAAGAUUCAUCGGUAACGGAUAGGGAUGCGUGACAUUAGAUAGUUGGCGGGGUAACGGCCCACCAAGUCCACGAUGUCUAGGGGUUCUGAGAGGAAGGUCCCCCACACUGGAACUGAGACACGGUCCAGACUCCUACGGGAGGCAGCAGUGAGGAAUAUUGGUCAAUGGCCGAGAGGCUGAACCAGCCAAGUAGCGUGAAGGAUGAAGGUUCUAUGGAUUGUAAACUUCUUUUAUACGGGAAUAACAUCACCUACGUGUAGGUGCCUGCAUGUACCGUAUGAAUAAGCAUCGGCUAACUCCGUGCCAGCAGCCGCGGUAAUACGGAGGAUGCGAGCGUUAUCCGGAUUUAUUGGGUUUAAAGGGAGCGUAGACGGGAUGUUAAGUCAGCUGUGAAAGCCUGCGGCCCAACCGCAGAACUGCAGUUGAUACUGGCGUUCUUGAGUGCGUACGAGGUAUGUGGAAUUCGUGGUGUAGCGGUGAAAUGCUUAGAUAUCACGAAGAACUCCGAUUG